CCUAACACAUGCAAGUCGAACGGUAACAGGAAGAAGCUUGCUUCUUUGCUGACGAGUGGCGGACGGGUGAGUAAUGUCUGGGAAACUGCCUGAUGGAGGGGGAUAACUACUGGAAACGGUAGCUAAUACCGCAUAACGUCGCAAGACCAAAGAGGGGGACCUUCGGGCCUCUUGCCAUCGGAUGUGCCCAGAUGGGAUUAGCUAGUAGGUGGGGUAACGGCUCACCUAGGCGACGAUCCCUAGCUGGUCUGAGAGGAUGACCAGCCACACUGGAACUGAGACACGGUCCAGACUCCUACGGGAGGCAGCAGUGGGGAAUAUUGCACAAUGGGCGCAAGCCUGAUGCAGCCAUGCC
RNAcentral lists this ribosomal RNA (355 nucleotides) under uncultured bacterium. RNAcentral's name for it is "bacterial SSU rRNA". It matches the Rfam family "Bacterial small subunit ribosomal RNA", at positions 47 to 398 of the family's 1533-position model. The record is from RNAcentral.